UGGGGAAUAUUGCACAAUGGGCGCAAGCCUGAUGCAGCCAUGCCGCGUGUGUGAAGAAGGCCUUCGGGUUGUAAAGUACUUUCAGUCGGGAGGAAGGUGUCAAGGUUAAUAACCUUGGCAAUUCACGUUACCGACAGAAGAAGCACCGGCUAACUCCGUGCCAGCAGCCGCGGUAAUACGGAGGGUGCAAGCGUUAAUCGGAAUUACUGGGCGUAAAGCGCACGCAGGCGGUUGAUUGAGUCAGAUGUGAAAUCCCCGGGCUUAACCCGGGAAUUGCAUCUGAUACUGGUCAGCUAGAGUCUUGUAGAGGGGGGUAGAAUUCCAUGUGUAGCGGGGAAAUGCGUAGAGAUGUGGAGGAAUACCGGUGGCGAAGGCGGCCCCCUGGACGAAGACUGACGCUCAGGUGCGAAAGCGUGGGGAGCAAACAGG
Molecule: ribosomal RNA, 429 nt
Filed under: Chloroflexota bacterium
Lineage: Bacteria; Bacillati; Chloroflexota
Description: Chloroflexi bacterium partial 16S ribosomal RNA
Rfam family: Bacterial small subunit ribosomal RNA
Source: RNAcentral